Molecule: long non-coding RNA, 318 nt
Filed under: Salvia miltiorrhiza (redroot sage)
Lineage: Eukaryota; Viridiplantae; Streptophyta; Magnoliopsida; Lamiales; Lamiaceae
Description: long non-coding RNA (SMIL_LNC009487)
Source: RNAcentral
CGACGAAUUUUAUUGGAAAACUUUGCAUUCACUAAAAUAAAGUUGAGGCAAAUUUCUGAAAGUGAACAGUUUUUCUAAAGGCCGUAAGUACUCCUUCAUGUAGCACAACAAUUUGAUCAACUUGGGGCAUUUACGCAUGUCCUACAAAUCAUACAAUAUAUGGACUUCAUAAAUUCUUGCAAUUUUGUGGGUUAAUUUACACUUUACUCAUUCACGAGAUUAGACUUGUCUCAUUUUUUUUUGGCACGAUUAUUAAAGAGAGUAUAAUUUGUAUAAUAAAGAUGUGAGAUCCAUAUUAUUUAUAGUGUAAAAUAAUUA